GGGAUGGACUAGAUGACCUUUAGAGGUCCCUUCCAACCCAAACCAUUCUACGAUUCUGUAAGUUGUUCAAAUGCUUCCUAGCCAAAACUAAGAAGUUUAACUUAAAACAUGGUAAAAGAUUCUUUACCAGCCUGCAAUGAUUUGCUGGAGCUGGUCUCAGUCUGCAGAGUUUUCUCUGAAACUGACUGCUGAGGAAAACCCCACUUCCCUGCUAGAAACACAGAAAACCCACCAAAGCCCACAGCACACUCUGUAACUAGGGAGCUCUCAGGCACUUGAAGGUGCCUGAAGCUUUGGGUGCGAAGCUUCAGUGGCUCCAGGCAGGUGCUCCAUGCUGCAGGAGUGGUAGGGGGAGCACCCGUAACUCCUCAACUUCUGUUUGCCACCGAAGGACACAGGGAAAUGUUUGGUGUAACCAGUCUUAUCCCCUUGCUUUAACUUCUAUGAAGCAAAGCAAGCUGUUGGUGAUAACCUGGCGAUGCAUGUGGUUAAUCUGCAGAGACAACUGAAAAGAUUUCUAGGAAGAAAAAAAAAAAAGGAAGAGGGUAACAACCUUAUUGAUCUUCUUCGAGGGACUUUAGCCUUGCAUCAAGGCUGAAGUAAAAUUUAACUUGGAAGCAAGUUUUUAUUUAAGGAAGCUAUAUGUGUGAAGUUGGAACUGCUCACAAAGAUAAGUUUUCUACCUGUGUUCACAUUUAAAAACCUUAUUCUUAACUCAUUUUUCCUUAUGGUGCACUUUCCAAAAAUACAAUUUUAGAAGCGUGACUCAGGAUUAAGGAAAGAACAGAACUAGUGGACACCGACCUCUUUUGUACUUGUGAAUUACAUGAGCCAGCAGGUUAGAGAUUUUUUUUUAAUCUCCAUUUAGCACAUGAGUGAUGUGCACUUAGCAACUGCUUAAACUUGCUAUUUUAUACCUGAUUCUAAACUUAUUGCGUGUUCCUCAAACUCUCCUUUGAUCUUACCUUUAUUAAUUUCCUGUGGUUUUCUUGAUGCUCAUCGCUGCAGUAUGAGAGAAGCAUGAACAUUCAUUGUAAUACUUUAGACAACAUGGAAUUUCACACUUGUGGUACUUGAGUGGAAAUAUUUUAACCUUUGGAGUACAAAGGAUUUGAUUUUUUCAGAGUAGAGUCUUACAAGCUUUAUGACAACUUCUGUAGAAGCUCAUCCCCCCCAUACAUUGGCUUGAGCUGUGGGUGAACGCUCAGUAUUUCUGUGUUUUGGGAUGCUGGGUCUGAAAUCAGACACUUGGAUUAGCAUCACACAGUCAUCCUGCAAAAGGCAAGAGGGGAUUUUAGUUGUCUGGAGUGACGUUCAAUUAUGUAAACAUGAAGUGCUAUCUUUUCUUUCUUCAAUCUUGUUUUUCUUGUGUAUCUCCCAAAUUCUACACAAAUGAGGCACAAUACAUUCAGGAAGAAGACUUUUCUUCAGAACUCUCACACAUCCUCAGAGGAGUUUCUAGCAGUUUAACAAAUAAAAUGGAAGAUACUUGGAAAAACUAGAAAGAGCAGUCAAUAAACCGAGCUGGCAUUAUUCAAGAGGAUAUUCAGCCUGCAGGGUUAAAAGUGUGGUCUGAUCCAUUUGGAAGAAAGUAAUGUUGCCAGCUGGGUGUAUUGCAAGGCAAAACUGCAGAUGGACAUCUUCAGCUGUUUCUUCUUUCACUGAAGUGUGUCUUUGGGUGUCGCUGGAGAAGAAUUCUGAAUAUGCUGUGUGGGCACGUGAGGAGCAACAAACGCUACUGGUUGGAAUCCCAAGAGAUGAAAACAUGCUAGUUUUGACAGAGGAUGCUGGGGUGUAGUGCACAGACUCUUAGCUGAAUGAUUCUUUAGUUUGGAAGUGAAAUAUUUAUUUCCUUGAGAAAAGGGAAGAGGAAUUAUUUUUGUGGUUAAUCUGUAAACACUUGUAGAAUAAAUUAUGAAUAGAAUAAAUUGUGCAGACCGCUGCAGUUUCCUCCCUAACCUGAGAAUUACUUUUUGUGGUUUUAUUAUGAAAACAUGACAGAAGUAUAUACUGAGAGAGAUCAGUGCAGAAAAUAAAGAUGGUGAGUGUAAAUUUGUACAUUAAAAUUUAUUCUUUUUAAACAACGUGUAUUAUUUUCAUUUGUUUUGCAGUUAGUUGUGGCUGGUUAGCCUUGGCCAGCUGCCAGGUGCCCACUUAGCCACUGCCUUGCUCCUGCUCCUCAACAGGACAGGGGGAGAAAAUAGGAUGACAAAGCUCGUGGGUCUGGAUAAACAUAGGGACGUUGUUUACCAGUUACUAUUGCAGGCAAAACAGACUCAACUUGGGGAAAAUUAAUGUAGUUUA
Molecule: long non-coding RNA, 2304 nt
Organism: Egretta garzetta (little egret)
Lineage: Eukaryota; Metazoa; Chordata; Aves; Pelecaniformes; Ardeidae
Exons: 3
Source: RefSeq, a predicted model, not a curated record